UACGGAGGGUGCUAGCGUUGUUCGGAAUUACUGGGCGUAAAGCGCGUGUAGGCGGAUUUAGUAGUCGGGUGUGAAAGCCCUGGGCUUAACCCAGGAAGUGCGCUCGAAACCAUAAAUCUAGAGGUCCGGAGGGGAUCGGGGAAUUCCCAGUGUAGAGGUGAAAUUCGUAGAUAUUGGGAGGAACACCGGCGGCGAAGGCGCCGAUCUGGACGGAUUCUGACGCUGAGACGCGAAAGCGUGGGUAGCAAACAGGAUUAGAUACCCUGGUAGUCCACGCCGUAAACUAUGUGCACUAGGUGUCGGGGGUAUUGACCCUCCCGGUGCCGACGCUAACGCAUUAAGUGCACCGCCUGGGAAGUACGGCCGCAAGGUUGAAACUCAAAGGAAUUGACGGGGGCCCGCACAAGCGGUGGAGUAUGUGGUUCAAUUCGACGCAACGCGAAAAACCUUACCCAGACUUGACAUCCCAGGAACCUUGCCGAAAAGCGAGGGUGCCCUUCGGGGAAUCUGGAGACAGGUGCUGCAUGGCU
This 530-nucleotide ribosomal RNA is filed under the name uncultured bacterium. RNAcentral describes it as "bacterial SSU rRNA". It matches the Rfam family "Bacterial small subunit ribosomal RNA", at positions 524 to 1050 of the family's 1533-position model. The record is from RNAcentral.